AGGACGAACGCUGGCGGCGUGCUUAACACAUGCAAGUGGAGCGACGAACCAGGGCUUGCCCUGGGGCAGAGCCGCGAACGGGUGAGUAACACGUGGGUUACCUGCCUCGAUGACCGGGACAACCCGAGGAAACUCGGGCUAAUACCGGAUGUGCCCGCAAGGGGAAAGGAAGCUUCGGCCUCCGCAUUGAGAUGGGCCCGCGGCCCAUUAGCUUGUUGGUGAGGUAACGGCUCACCAAGGCUUCGAUGGGUAGCUGGUCUGAGAGGACGAUCAGCCACACUGGGACUGAGACACGGCCCAGACUCCUACGGGAGGCAGCAGUGGGGAAUCUUGCGCAAUGCGCGAAAGCGUGACGCAGCAACGCCGCGUGGGGGAAGAAGGCUUUCGGGUGUAAACCCCUUUCAGUUGGGACGAAGCUUCGGCAGUGAAUAGCUGUUCGGAGUGACGGUACCUUCACAAGAAGCACCGGCUAACUACGUGCCAGCAGCCGC
RNAcentral lists this ribosomal RNA (491 nucleotides) under uncultured bacterium. RNAcentral describes it as "SSU rRNA". It matches the Rfam family "Bacterial small subunit ribosomal RNA", at positions 26 to 518 of the family's 1533-position model. The record is from RNAcentral.